AAUAUACUCCCUCCGUUCCGAAUUACUUGUCUUAGAUUUGUCUAGAUACAAAUGUAUCUAGCACUAAAAUGAGUCUAGAUACAUCCGUAUCUAGAAAAAUCCAAGACAAGUAAUUCGGAACGGAGGGAGUACAUA
This is a non-coding RNA of Triticum aestivum (bread wheat), 135 nucleotides long. Lineage: Eukaryota; Viridiplantae; Streptophyta; Magnoliopsida; Poales; Poaceae. The record is from Rfam.